RNAcentral lists this ribosomal RNA (254 nucleotides) under uncultured bacterium. Its description in RNAcentral is "partial 16S ribosomal RNA". It matches the Rfam family "Bacterial small subunit ribosomal RNA", at positions 524 to 776 of the family's 1533-position model. The record is from RNAcentral.
UACGUAGGUCGCAAGCGUUGUCCGGAUUUACUGGGCGUAAAGAGCGCGCAGGCGGCUGGUCAAGUCCGAUGUGAAAUCUCCCGGCUCAACUGGGAAACUGCAUCGGAAACUGACCGGCUUGAAGGUGGGAGAGGGUAGUGGAAUUCCCGGUGUAGUGGUGAAAUGCGUAGAUAUCGGGAGGAACACCAGUGGCGAAGGCGGCAUCCUGGACCGAUCACUGACACUGAGGCGCGAAAGCUAGGGGAGCAAACGGG